UGAAUAGGUGGUUAAGUAAGUCUUUAGUGAAAGACCAGGGCUCAACUCUGGUAAUGCUGAAGAUACUGCUUGACUUGAGGCUGGGAGAGGCGAGUGGAAUUGCUGGUGAAGGGGUUAAAUCCGUUGAUAUCAGCAGGAACACCAAAGGCGAAGGCAACUCGCUAGAACAGUUCUGACACUAAUUUCACGAAAGCGUGGGGAGCGAACAGGAUUAGAUACCCUGGUAGUCC
Molecule: ribosomal RNA, 230 nt
Filed under: uncultured bacterium
Lineage: Bacteria
Description: partial 16S ribosomal RNA
Rfam family: Bacterial small subunit ribosomal RNA
Source: RNAcentral